GCUGGGUGUGGUGGCCCAUUUCUAGAAGCCCUGCUACCAAGAAAGCUGAGGCUGGUGGAUCUCUUGAGCUCAGACGUUCUAAGCCAUAGUGGACUAAGACAAUCAGGUGUCUAUGCAAGAGUGGUAUUUAAUAUGGCAAGCCCCUGGAAGCAAAAGUCCACCAGGUUACCUAAGGAGGGGCAAACUAGCCCAGGUCAGAAACAGAGCAAGUCUAAGCCAUUGUGCUUCCAAGGGGAUCAGUCCCAUGAAUAGCCCCUGCACUCAGAGUCUGGGCGAGUGGCAGACCCAGUCUUA
RNAcentral lists this non-coding RNA (294 nucleotides) under Phascolarctos cinereus (koala). The record is from RNAcentral. Lineage: Eukaryota; Metazoa; Chordata; Mammalia; Diprotodontia; Phascolarctidae.